UGGGGAAUAUUGGACAAUGGGGGAAACCCUGAUCCAGCGAUGCCGCGUGUGUGAAGAAGGCCUGCGGGUUGUAAAGCACUUUAGUUGGGGAAGAAAGGCGUUUGGUGAACAGCCAGAUGCUGUGACGUUACCCAAAGAAUAAGCACCGGCUAACUCUGUGCCAGCAGCCGCGGUAAUACAGAGGGUGCGAGCGUUAAUCGGAAUUACUGGGCGUAAAGGGCGCGUAGGCGGUUAAUUAAGUUAGAUGUGAAAUCCCCGGGCUCAACCUGGGAACUGCAUAUAAUACUGGUUAGCUAGAGUAGAAUAGAGGGAAGUGGAAUUUCCGGUGUAGCGGUGAAAUGCGUAGAUAUCGGAAAGAACACCAGUGGCGAAGGCGACUUCCUGGAUUCAUACUGACGCUGAGGCGCGAAAGCAUGGGUAGCAAACAG
This 428-nucleotide ribosomal RNA is filed under the name uncultured bacterium. Its description in RNAcentral is "bacterial SSU rRNA". It matches the Rfam family "Bacterial small subunit ribosomal RNA", at positions 355 to 775 of the family's 1533-position model. The record is from RNAcentral.